UUUCUUCUGCAUAAAAAUAUGAACACACAACAAAAUAGCAGUAAAAAUACUCGAUAUCAAAGCGUCACAUGGUGUGUGUGUUUUUUGUUUUUGUUUUUUU
Melanotaenia boesemani (Boeseman's rainbowfish) is the source of this 100-nucleotide long non-coding RNA. RefSeq lists it as uncharacterized. The transcript has 3 exons. The record is from RefSeq and is a predicted model, not a curated record. Lineage: Eukaryota; Metazoa; Chordata; Actinopteri; Atheriniformes; Melanotaeniidae.